GAUGAAGAACGUAGCGAAAUGCGAUAAGUAAUGUGAAUUGCAGAAUUCAGUGAAUCAUCGAAUCUUUGAACGCACAUUGCGCCCGCCAGUAUUCUUGCGGGCAUGCCUGUUCGAGCGUCAUUUCAACCAUCAAGCCCUGCUUGCGUUGGGGUCCUGCGGCUGCCCGCAGGCCCUGAAAACCAGUGGCGGGCUCGCUAGUCACACCGAGCGCAGUAAUACAUCUCGCUUUGGGCGUGCGGCGGGUUCUUGCCGUUAAACACCCCCUUUUUACCAAGGUUGACCUCGGAUCAGGUAGGAAUACCCGCUGAACUUAAGCAUAUCAAUAAGCGGAGGA
Molecule: unclassified non-coding RNA, 334 nt
Filed under: soil metagenome
Description: partial contains 5.8S ribosomal RNA, internal transcribed spacer 2, and large subunit ribosomal RNA
Rfam family: 5.8S ribosomal RNA (bases 1-120)
Source: RNAcentral